This 597-nucleotide ribosomal RNA is filed under the name Scutellinia cejpii. Its description in RNAcentral is "eukaryotic LSU rRNA". The stretch from base 258 to 411 matches the Rfam family "5.8S ribosomal RNA". Lineage: Eukaryota; Fungi; Ascomycota; Pezizomycetes; Pezizales; Pyronemataceae. The record is from RNAcentral.
AGAGGAAGUAAAAGUCGUAACAAGGUUUCCGUAGGUGAACCUGCGGAAGGAUCAUUAAAAGUAAUAUGUGUUCACUCGAAUAUACAUUAUAAACCCCCCUCUGUGUACCUUACCUGUUGCUUCCGCUGGGCAGUGAUCUCGGUCACCUGCGAACCGGAUGGCGCGAGCCAUCCGGUGGUAGAGUCCCCGCGAAUGGUCUACAUCAAACCCUUGCAUUUCUAUGUCAUCUGUCUGAACCUGUUUAUAACAAAUGUUAAAACUUUCAACAACGGAUCUCUUGGUUCUCGCAUCGAUGAAGAACGCAGCGAAAUGCGAUAAGUAGUGUGAAUUGCAGAAUUCAGUGAAUCAUCGAAUCUUUGAACGCACAUUGCGCCUCCUGGUAUUCCGGGAGGCAUGCCUGUUCGAGCGUCAUUAAAAACCACUCAAGCUCUUUUUGCUUGGUAUUGGGAGAUAGGAGCGUACCAUGAUGCACUCCCUCCCGAAAUCCAAUGGCGGAAAGCCUCAGGUGCCCCGGCGUAGUAAGUUUUCUUUCGCUCGGAACCAGAGGUGAUCCUGCCCCAAACCCCCAAUCACUUUUUUCAGGUUGACCUCGGAUCA